UACGGAGGGCGCAAGCGUUGUUCGGAAUCAUUGGGCGUAAAGCGCGUGUAGGCGGUCGCGUAAGUCGGGUGUGAAAUCCCGGGGCUCAACCCCGGAACUGCAUUCGAAACUGCGUGGCUAGAGUCCCGGAGAGGGUGGUGGAAUUCCCAGUGUAGAGGUGAAAUUCGUAGAUAUUGGGAAGAACACCGGAGGCGAAGGCGGCCACCUGGACGGUGACUGACGCUGAGACGCGAAAGCGUGGGGAGCAAACAGG
RNAcentral lists this ribosomal RNA (253 nucleotides) under uncultured bacterium. Its description in RNAcentral is "partial 16S ribosomal RNA". It matches the Rfam family "Bacterial small subunit ribosomal RNA", at positions 524 to 776 of the family's 1533-position model. The record is from RNAcentral.